Molecule: unclassified non-coding RNA, 545 nt
Filed under: Rahnella sp. WMR114
Lineage: Bacteria; Pseudomonadati; Pseudomonadota; Gammaproteobacteria; Enterobacterales; Yersiniaceae
Description: RNA II
Source: RNAcentral
AAACGAAAAAACCGCCCUGGCAGGCGGUUUUUUCGAAGGUUCUCAAUGCCUAGUAAACAUUUUGAACCGAGGUAACUGAACUUCGCGGGAACAGUCACCCAAACUUGUCCUUUCAGUGUAGCCGUAAAAGGCAUGGCACUUCAAGACCUCAAGAAUUAAUACCAUUUCCUAUAUCCCGCAAGCUUCCAGUUACCAAUGGCUACCGCCAGUGGCGAUUCUUCGUGUCUUUCAGGUUUGGCCUCAAGUGUUUGUUACCUGAAUUUGGCGCGGUAGUCGGACUAAACGGGGAGUUCGUGCAUAUAGUCCAGCUUGGAGCGAACCACCUACAAGGCACCCAGUUGCAUGGGAAGGAAUGAGAAAACGCCACCUUACGGCGGUCUGCAACGGGUAAACCUCAGGGUGGGAACAGGAAAGCGCACGAGGGAGCGACCUAUCGGAAACGGUGGGGAUCUUUAAGUCCUGUCAGGUUUCGCCACUUCUGAUUUGAGCGCCGGAAAUCAUCCGAUUUCUGUGAUGUUCGUCAGGAGGGCGAAGCCUAUGGAAAA